Molecule: ribosomal RNA, 589 nt
Filed under: uncultured Synechococcus sp.
Lineage: Bacteria; Bacillati; Cyanobacteriota; Cyanophyceae; Synechococcales; Synechococcaceae
Description: bacterial SSU rRNA
Rfam family: Bacterial small subunit ribosomal RNA
Source: RNAcentral
GUACGCACGCAUAGUGUGAAACUCAAAGGAAUUGACGGGGGCCCGCACAUAGCGGUGGAGUAUGUGGUUUAAAUUCGAUGCAACGCGAAGAUCCUUACCAGGGUUUGACAUCCUGCGAAUCUCUUGGAAACAGGAGAGUGCCUUCGAGAACGCAGUGACAGGUGGUGCAUGGCUGUCGUCAGCUCGUGUCGUGAGAUGUUGGGUUAAGUCCCGCAACGAGCGCAACCCACGUCUUUAGUUGCCAGCAUUUAGUUGGGCACUCUAGAGAGACUGCCGGUGAUAAACCGGAGGAAGGUGUGGAUGACGUCAAGUCAUCAUGCCCCUUACAUCCUGGGCUACACACGUACUACAAUGCUACGGACAAAGGGCAGCAAGUUCGCGAGGACAAGCAAAUCCCAUAAACCGUGGCUCAGUUCAGAUCGUAGGCUGCAACUCGCCUACGUGAAGGCGGAAUCGCUAGUAAUCGCAGGUCAGCAUACUGCGGUGAAUACGUUCCCGGGCCUUGUACACACCGCCCGUCACACCAUGGAAGUUGGCCACGCCCGAAGCCGUUACUCCAACCCUUGUGGAGGAGGACGUCGAAGGUGGG